AAGGGGGGCAACCCCCGAGUAGAGUGGCGAACGGGUGAGUAAUACAUCGGAACGUGUCCAGUAGCGGGGGAUAACCUCUCGAAAGAGAGGCUAAUACCGCAUACGUCCUACGGGAGAAAGAGGGGGAUCGCAAGACCUCUCACUAUUGGAGCGGCCGAUGUCGGAUUAGCUAGUUGGUGUGGUAAAAGCCUACCAAGGCAACGAUCCGUAGCUGGUCUGAGAGGACGACCAGCCACACUGGAACUGAGACACGGUCCAGACUCCUACGGGAGGCAGCAGUGGGGAAUUUUGGACAAUGGGCGCAAGCCUGAUCCAGCCAUGCCGCGUGAGUGAAGAAGGCCUUCGGGUUGUAAAGCUCUUUCGGCGGGGACGAAAAGGUCCGUGCUAACACCAUGGAUCCAUGACGGUACCCGCAGAAGAAGCACCGGCUAACUACGUGCCAGCAGCCGCGGUAAUACGUAGGGUGCAGGCGUUA
RNAcentral lists this ribosomal RNA (475 nucleotides) under uncultured bacterium. RNAcentral's name for it is "bacterial SSU rRNA". It matches the Rfam family "Bacterial small subunit ribosomal RNA", at positions 72 to 543 of the family's 1533-position model. The record is from RNAcentral.